UGCCAGCAGCCGCGGUAAUUCCAGCUCCAAUAGCGUAUAUUAAAGUUGUUGCGGUUAAAAAGCUCGUAGUUGGAUCUCGGCGGGCAGGGGGUGGUUCGCUCUUCAGCGCUACUGCCCCGCUUUGCCCGUGUGAUUGGCGGAGGUUUCGGGGUGCUCUUCGUUGAGUGACUCGGAGCGCCGUCAGGUUUACUUUGAAAAAAUUAGAGUGCUCAAAGCAGGCUUUUCACGCUUGAAUAUUCGUGCAUGGAAUAAUGGAAUAGGAACUCGUUUCUAUUUUGUUGGUUUUCGGAAAUCGAGUUAAUGAUUAACAGGGACAAUUGGGGGCAUUAGUAUUCAGACGACAGAGGUGAAAUUCUUGGACCGUCUGAAGACUGACUACUGCGAAAGCAUUUGCCAAGAGUGUUUUCAUUAAUCAAGAACGAAAGUUAGAGGUUCGAAGGCGAUCAGAUACCGCCCUAGUUCUAACCAUAAACGAUGCCAGCUAGCGAUCUGCCGAGUUUUUUUUGUAGGCUCCGCAGGAAGCUUUCGGGAAACCAAAGCUUUUGGGUUCCGGGGGAAGUAUGGUUGCAAAGCUGAAACUUAAAGGAAUUGACGGAAGGGCACCACCAGGAGUGGAGCCUGCGGCUUAAUUUGACUCAACACGGGAAAUCUCACCAGGCCCGGACACUGGAAGGAUUGACAGAUUGAGAGCUCUUUCUCGAUUCGGUGGGUGGUGGUGCAUGGCCGUUCUUAGUUGGUGGAGUGAUUUGUCUGGUUAAUUCCGAUAACGAACGAGACUCUGUCCUGCUAAAUAGUUGGGUCGUCCUUCGUGCGAUCCAAGUUCUUCUUAGAGGGACUGGCUGCGUCUAGCAGCACGAGAUUGAGCAAUAACAGGUCUGUGAUGCCCAA
Molecule: ribosomal RNA, 888 nt
Filed under: uncultured eukaryote
Lineage: Eukaryota
Description: SSU rRNA
Rfam family: Eukaryotic small subunit ribosomal RNA
Source: RNAcentral